Molecule: long non-coding RNA, 1278 nt
Organism: Gasterosteus aculeatus aculeatus (three-spined stickleback)
Lineage: Eukaryota; Metazoa; Chordata; Actinopteri; Perciformes; Gasterosteidae
Source: Ensembl
AAACAAACCAGCAGCCUGAUCCUCCACCUCGAUCCGUCCUCUGCCUUUAGUUACUUCUCCCGCUUUGUAUGUGACAUAAUUCACUGUGCAGUGUAACAGAGAGGAUGCUGGGAGAAGUAAUCCAUCCACCGCUCUUAGGCCUCUGCUAAUAAAACUAUUAAUAUGCCGUUUGUGUGUGCGUAAGUGAGAGUGGGGACCCUCCUAUUCGCAGCAUUACCGCGCUAUUUGACUGAGGCGGUUGUCACGGCGACGAACAAGCAGCGUGACACAAGAGCGAAGCGACGCGGCAUAAAUACACAGCGAGGAGGACUCGACACUCGUCUGUUAAUCCACGCUGAUGAUGCAUAGAAAUGUGAUAACACGCUUUACAUGUCACUCUGGGGCGCAGCCCUGUUAAAGGGUUCAUAUUAGACAUGCUAAGACACACUGAAAUAAAAGUUGCUCCUCUUCCUUCUCUCUCGGUCACCUAAACGAUACCUUUCCGAGGAAAGUCAUGGGUUAGAAAUGCAAUGUGAGUUGCUUUGGAGAAAAGCGUCAGCUAAAUGACCUGUAAUGUAAAGUUUGUUACUACUCGGGUGAAAUUGUCACGGCCACUUUUUCGCCUUACAAAAUAGAAAUUCACAGCCUUUAAUGUGAAAGACAGAUUUUGAAUAAAAAUUGCAUGUGUAUGCAUUUGUUAAAUGUUUUAGCAUUAUUGUGGACCAGGCCUCAAAGCCCACCAGAGGGAUCAUUUGUUUGAUGAAUGAUAAAACUUCAGUUCAUGCACAGAUGGUCCCACACUGCCAUUUAGUCACGGUGAAUAUUAAUAUUCUAAUAAAUUGUGAGUGUGUUGGCGCGUGUGCGUGCAUGAGUGUUCAACCCUAUUUUCUCCCGUGUAUUGACGGCAGCGAGCUCGCCGCGUUUCUCAGGACAGGCAGGAGACGGAGCCAUCACUCUUCUCUUCUCACCGCACGCUUUUCUCCCCCCCCUCCUCACCACGUUGCUCCUCUACGGCACGGAAGACGUAAGUGCCUGAGACAGAUGUCUGCUGCCUCUUGUCUAAACCCCUCAACGCGAGAUGCUGAGCUCGGCAAACUCUAAUUAAGAUCAAUAUUUCAAUUUUUAGUAAAAGCGCACGAGACGGAGAGAAGACUGAGGGAGAGAAAUCAUCCCUCCACGUGGGCUCGGAGAGCCGAAAAGAAAGAUAUAUCACGCACGUAUCGGUUGGCUGAUGGAAGGGGCGGCGGGGUGCUGAUGCUGAGGAGGCUAAACGGGUCAGGUGCACCAGUGUCAUGCUCC